This 559-nucleotide ribosomal RNA is filed under the name Trichogaster lalius (dwarf gourami). Its description in RNAcentral is "partial 16S ribosomal RNA". It matches the Rfam family "Bacterial large subunit ribosomal RNA", at positions 1923 to 2632 of the family's 2925-position model. Lineage: Eukaryota; Metazoa; Chordata; Actinopteri; Anabantiformes; Osphronemidae. The record is from RNAcentral.
UUUAACGGCCGCGGUAUUUUGACCGUGCAAAGGUAGCGUAAUCACUUGUCUUUUAAAUGAAGACCUGUAUGAAUGGCAUAACGAGGGCUUAACUGUCUCCUUUUUCUGGUCAAUGAAAUUGAUCUCUCCGUGCAGAAGCGGGGAUAAUUACAUAAGACGAGAAGACCCUAUGGAGCUUUAGACACCAAAGCAGAUCUUGUUAAAUACCCAAAAUAAAGGAUGAUAAACCAAAAGUUAAACCUGCCCUAUUGUCUUUGGUUGGGGCGACCGUGGGGAAAUAAAAAUCCCCCAUGUGGACUGAGAAUAAUAGUUCUUAAAAACAAGAGCCACAGCUCUAGUUAGCAGAAAUUCUGACCUUUAGAUCCGGCAAUGCCGAUCAACGGACCGAGUUACCCUAGGGAUAACAGCGCAAUCCUCUUUUAGAGCCCAUAUCGACAAGAGGGUUUACGACCUCGAUGUUGGAUCAGGACAUCCUAAUGGUGCAGCCGCUAUUAAGGGUUCGUUUGUUCAACGAUUAAAGUCCUACGUGAUCUGAGUUCAGACCGGACCCCCCCUGUUU